Molecule: non-coding RNA, 84 nt
Organism: Bombyx mori (domestic silkworm)
Lineage: Eukaryota; Metazoa; Arthropoda; Insecta; Lepidoptera; Bombycidae
Source: Rfam
UUAACUCAAAUUUGUAUGGAGUUGAAACGUUUGCCUACGUUUGCAGAUAGGGCCGGUGUUCCAACACCAUACAAAUUUGAGUUA